Molecule: ribosomal RNA, 491 nt
Filed under: Shigella sonnei
Lineage: Bacteria; Pseudomonadati; Pseudomonadota; Gammaproteobacteria; Enterobacterales; Enterobacteriaceae
Description: bacterial LSU rRNA
Rfam family: Bacterial large subunit ribosomal RNA
Source: RNAcentral
GGUAAGGUGAUAUGAACCGUUAUAACCGGCGAUUUCCGAAUGGGGAAACCCAGUGUGUUUCGACACACUAUCAUUAACUGAAUCCAUAGGUUAAUGAGGCGAACCGGGGGAACUGAAACAUCUAAGUACCCCGAGGAAAAGAAAUCAACCGAGAUUCCCCCAGUAGCGGCGAGCGAACGGGGAGGAGCCCAGAGCCUGAAUCAGUGUGUGUGUUAGUGGAAGCGUCUGGAAAGGCGCGCGAUACAGGGUGACAGCCCCGUACACAAAAAUACACAUAUUGUGAGCUCGAUGAGUAGGGCGGGACACGUGGUAUCCUGUCUGAAUAUGGGGGGACCAUCCUCCAAGGCUAAAUACUCCUGACUGACCGAUAGUGAACCAGUACCGUGAGGGAAAGGCGAAAAGAACCCCGGCGAGGGGAGUGAAAAAGAACCUGAAACCGUGUACGUACAAGCAGUGGGAGCACGCUUAGGCGUGUGACUGCGUACCUUUUG